AAGUGGAUUAGCGGCGGACGGGUGAGUAACACGUGGGUAACCUGCCUCAAAGUGGGGGAUAGCCUUCCGAAAGGAAGAUUAAUACCGCAUAAUAUAAGAGAAUCGCAUGAUUUUUUUAUCAAAGAUUUAUUGCUUUGAGAUGGACCCGCGGCGCAUUAGCUAGUUGGUAAGGUAACGGCUUACCAAGGCAACGAUGCGUAGCCGACCUGAGAGGGUGAUCGGCCACAUUGGAACUGAGACAC
RNAcentral lists this ribosomal RNA (242 nucleotides) under Clostridium botulinum. RNAcentral describes it as "partial 16S ribosomal RNA". It matches the Rfam family "Bacterial small subunit ribosomal RNA", at positions 85 to 327 of the family's 1533-position model. The record is from RNAcentral. Lineage: Bacteria; Bacillati; Bacillota; Clostridia; Eubacteriales; Clostridiaceae.